This is a non-coding RNA of Lolium perenne, 1336 nucleotides long. The record is from RefSeq and is a predicted model, not a curated record. Lineage: Eukaryota; Viridiplantae; Streptophyta; Magnoliopsida; Poales; Poaceae.
UCUUCUCCAGAGAAAUCUCCAAAAUUCUUUCCCGUGUCCCUCUUCCUCCCCCCAAACCACCGCUCACUUUGAACCCUAGCUGACCUCUCCCUUGCCUUCAUCUGUCUCUAGCUGAGCUCCUCCACAACUGCCGGCUGUAGUCAGAGUGAGGUUCCCCUUCCUUGGACGGCGGCGGUCGACUGCGGUGCCGCCCUCUGCUUCAUGUCAUGAAGGUUGCCGCCCGGGCAACAGUGGUGCCGCCCUCUUCAGGCUAGAGCACGACCAAGUCAGCCGCUUCCCAUCUCCCUCCUUUUCUGACUGGCACUGGACGCAGGAACCAUGUGUCAUCGCUGGCGGCAAGGAGCUGUGGGAGAGAUCAACUAGGUUCUCUCUGAGGUUGGGCUCGCUUUCAUCGAUGCCUGAGCUGUAGAGGCAUGUUACGGAUGCGCCGCGGGCCAAGCAGUGCCCCGCCUAGAAGGCGACUAAGGAUCCCCCGCUGUGCGCGUGAGUGCGUCCCUGGUCACGGUGCAACUAAGACAGCCGUGGAAACGCACCCAUCGAUUGCCGCCUUGAUGCCUGUCCUCCGGCAGAAUCGAGGAAGCAGCCUCGCGCAGGGCUAGGCUACUGAACGCCGAGAACAGGCUUACAGUUCACUUGAUCCAUGUCUUUGACGGAUUGACAUUGUGUUGGUGGCUGCCGGCCGGAUUGUCCUGCUUCUGCGUGGUGGUUGUUGGCAUAGAGCCAUAGACAACCAAACAAUGGAGAUGGACAACGCCAGUUCCAGCCGGACCUGCAGCAUUGUAACAAGUUUCAGUGAGGUGUUUGGUAUUGCAAGUUUCCAAUCAGCCGGACCUGCAGCAUUGUAACAAGUUUCAGUGAGGUGUUUAGUAUUGCAAGUUUCCAAUCUUUCUUUUACGGUGACCUCAGAUUUUGAGUACUGGAAAGAACAAGGAAUCCAUCUGUAAACGAUUGCUCUGUUGGAUUCAAGGUCAUAAACUAAGAAAAGAAACUGGACAAGCAUUGAUAUAAUCUGGAACAAGGUGGUGGCAAACGUUAGAAGAUGACCAGUGCUUUGCAAGCAUUCUCACACUUCAGUGUUGGUCAGGAACAUGCUGCUGCUGGCAGAUACAACGGUUGAGUCGUUACAGAUUGGCUAGAUAUGAACUAUGCAGGCUUCAUGAAGAUGUUUAAGCGCUCCCCUCCUCUAGAUUAGCUUUUCAGCUGAUUCUCCUUAGUCCUUAUAUCCCAUCUGUGCUUCGCUCAAUGGUUGAGUUUCAAAAUUGUAAGUGAAUGAUGUAUGAGACCUAUUACGGUUGCAUGUCAAUGGAACCAGGGGGCAAUCCCUAUUCAAAAAACA